RNAcentral lists this ribosomal RNA (407 nucleotides) under uncultured bacterium. RNAcentral describes it as "partial 16S ribosomal RNA". It matches the Rfam family "Bacterial small subunit ribosomal RNA", at positions 30 to 526 of the family's 1533-position model. The record is from RNAcentral.
AUUGAACGCUGGCGGCAGGCCUAACACAUGCAAGUCGAGCGGAGCGGCGGACGGGUGAGUAAUGCCUAGGAAUCUGCCUGGUCGUGGGGGAUAACGUCCGGAAACGGGCGCUAAUACCGCAUACUAUCAGAUGAGCCUAGGUCGGAUUAGCUAGUUGGUGGGGUAAAGGCCUACCAAGGCGACGAUCCGUAACUGGUCUGAUAGGAUGAUCAGUCACACUGUGACUAUGACACGUUCCAGACUCCUACGGGAGACAACAGGGGGGAAUAUUGGAAAAUGGGCGAAAGCCGGAUACAGCAAUGCCGCGUGUCUGAAGAAGGGCUUCGGAUUGUAAAGCACUUUAAGUUGGGAGACGUUACCAACAGAAUAAGCACCGGCUAACUGCGUGCCAGCAGCCGCGGUAAUUC